AGAGUUUGAUCCUGGCUCAGGAUGAACGCUGGCGGCGUGCUUAACACAUGCAAGUCGAACGAACCUUCGGGUUAGUGGCGGACGGGUGAGUAACGCGUGAGAAUCUGCCCUCAGGAGGGGGACAACAGCUGGAAACGGCUGCUAAUACCCCAUAUGCCGCGAGGUGAAAUGAAUUUCGCCUGAGGAUGAGCUCGCGUCUGAUUAGCUAGUUGGUGUAGGUAAUGGCUCACCAAGGCAUCGAUCAGUAGCUGGUCUGAGAGGAUGAUCAGCCACACUGGGACUGAGACACGGCCCAGACUCCUACGGGAGGCAGCAGUGGGGAAUUUUCCGCAAUGGGCGAAAGCCUGACGGAGCAACGCCGCGUGAGGGAUGAAGGCCUCUGGGCUGUAAACCUCUUUUAUCAAGGAAGAAG
RNAcentral lists this ribosomal RNA (412 nucleotides) under uncultured Synechococcus sp. RNAcentral's name for it is "bacterial SSU rRNA". It matches the Rfam family "Bacterial small subunit ribosomal RNA", at positions 8 to 450 of the family's 1533-position model. Lineage: Bacteria; Bacillati; Cyanobacteriota; Cyanophyceae; Synechococcales; Synechococcaceae. The record is from RNAcentral.